Molecule: long non-coding RNA, 847 nt
Organism: Camelus dromedarius (Arabian camel)
Lineage: Eukaryota; Metazoa; Chordata; Mammalia; Artiodactyla; Camelidae
Exons: 3
Source: RefSeq, a predicted model, not a curated record
GGCAUGAAUGGUGACACAGCUUCUGUCUUGUGUUCUUGAGAUGCUGGAGCUUGGAACCAGCCCACCAUGCUGUCCGGAAGCCCAACAGCGCGUGGAGAGGUGCAGCAGGAGAGAAGCGGGGCCUCCAGCCCACAGCCAGCACCAGCUGACAAUCCUAUUUGCUCAUUGUGGACGUUUCGUCUGAGAGUGAGCGCACGUCACGUGGUCCUUUGUGACUGGCUUCUUUCGCUCAGCAAGAUGCUUCCUAGGUCCUUCCAAGCUGUAGCCCGGCUGAAUAAUACUCGUUGUGUGGAAUACAUGUGUGUAUGUGUGUGUGCACACCUAAUAAUGGUUACUGAACACUUACGGGUUCAAUGCUGUCCGUCCUAAGAGCUCAUUCAAACUUCAACAACCUGGUAAGUAGGUACUACCAUUAUCCCCAUUUUGUGGAUGAGGGAACUGAGGCUCAGAGAGGCAAUGUGGUUUUCCUAAAGCCACACAGCUAGUAGACGGUGGGGCCAGGAUGCAAAGCCAAACAGCCUGACUCCAGAAUCCACACUCUGAGCCUCUAAGACAUGCUCUGGAACCUCUUUCCCCUCUGAGCCACAUGGUGGAGUAGUGCCUACUUGGGGGUGACUCCCCCGAGGCCUUAAGUCACAGGUGUGGGCCCAGACCCACCUGGAGCCUGGGGGGCACGGAGGGGAGGACCAUCGCCAACACUCUGCACAAGCUUGUGUCCUGCCUCCAACGGCCAGCAGCAGGCCAGCCUCUGCCCACAGCAGGCUGGGCUUCGUCCACUCCCCAGGUCACCUCCUGCUGCCCGUCCGUUCUUCUGAGGGUGGCUUCCUUCUUCCCACCUACUGCAAGC